CCAUGGUCACAACAGUACUAAUGCAUCCAGAAAAGCUGCCUGUCAAGGGAGACAAGCAAGGUAUAAUGCUAGUGGUACAAAAAGUGAGCAGCUGUGGUCACUCAGUUAUGGCUGUAUGGACAUCAAGGAAUGGACUCAUGGGGAGCUGAUGGUGUCCUUGCUCUCAAUCUGCUGGAGGAGAAGCUGCCAUGCACACUUCAGCACCUGGAAAACAUCAACAUCUGGACAAAGAACAGCCAGGCAGAGCCUGGCAGGAUGGAGGAAGUCUGCGGGGGAAUUUCUGUCUUGAAAAACUCAUCUUCAGAACAGAAUGUACCCAUUCAUCUAUGGUAUCUGGCUUCAUAUCACCAAGGGUGCUUAAUUUGAACUGUUGCGUGGUACAAAUCUUGAAUAUGGAUGAAAAUAACGUUUACAGGAGGAAGACCCCAGCUGUUGAAUGCCUUAUCAGAGAAUAUCAGAUAAGGGGUGAGUGGUUGUCUUCAGAUCGGAGGUACAUUGCCCAUCUCUUUGAGACAUACCUAUGCAAUGAUACCUUCCAGCAACCUUUCAUUUUAGUAUUAUGCAUAGUCUUCCAGUGAUUUUGUAAUAUUUAUGGUAUGACAUGGGUUCCCAAGCACACUAAACUGUGUCUAAGGCAUUUUUCAGUCUAAACAUCAUUACCUGUCAUCAUUUCCUGAUGUGCUUAGUCUCUUUUUAGGGCUAGUAAUAAGAUGGAUUCCUCUCUAUCAUUUAUGUAUUUGUGCAGUAAAUAGUUUUGGAGUCAUAUGUCAUUGUACAUCUCUGUGCUGAAACAUAUGUGAACUCUCAAGGACUAAAUUUCAUCUCAACAUCGUGUAUAGCAGGGGGGUAUCAGCCUUGUACUGUAUAAGGAAGUUUGUUUAUUGACUAGCUUGGUGCUUCAUUCCUUAAGCACAUAGUAUAAAAGAGACUAAUACUGUGGCUGAUUGCAUUUCAUUGGUGUACUCCUAUAAGCUGAUGUCUUAAUUACAUUACUUGUCAAGAUAAAGGGUUGCAGACCCAAAAGCAAAGAUACACUGAACAGGACCUCUGGUGACUUGGGGAUUUGUUAUGGGAGGCUUAUCCCAGAAAAAGGUCCCUCUUAUGCCUUUCUAAAGAAAGGCAAUGAUCAGAGGCCAUGGAUCACCUAAGAAUUUAGCUGGCAGCUCUGACAGCUGUGAAAUUGUCCUAUCAGCAGUGUCAUUGAAGUGAGUACUGCACAGAUCCUGAAACAGAGCUAAAUGACGAAGUAUCUCUUAUUGGACUUGACUUCCUCCUAACUGUUCCUGAGCUAAGUAACUUCUUUCCUAGUGGUGCAUAAUGCUGGAAUGAACUUUGUACUUUUUCCUUAAAUCUGGUCUGGUAAGAUAGCACUGGGAAACUGCUGUGUGGAGGAUUAGUGAACAUAAGGAGUGUGUGUUCCUUUACUGGCUAUGCUGCACCUGCUUCAGGCUUAAGAACCCUUGGUGUUCUGCAGGACUGUCCUUCGCUAAAUUACAAGAAGCCAGACUUGACAUGGUUGGGAAGAGAAGUCUCUGUUGGUAAGCAGUAUCCAGAGCUUGUUGGCAAGAAAUAGGAAUC
This is a long non-coding RNA of Anser brachyrhynchus (Pink-footed goose), 1578 nucleotides long. The record is from Ensembl. NCBI's taxonomy places the organism in Eukaryota, Metazoa, Chordata, Aves, Anseriformes, Anatidae.